ACAGUCCAUUUUUCUGGGCAACUUUGUUUAGUUGUUAGAUGUUUUUUGAAGUAUGAAGAAUAAAGUGUGUGUCUGUGUGUAUACCAAUCGAGUGUCUGCAAUAACUACAGCAUCAAUAUGGUGACUUCCCAGGAGUGGGGGACCACCAUGUCAUCUAAGGAUGGGUGAACCAGCCCAGGUCAGAAGUGGAGCAGGUCAAAAGUCCCAUGCUGAGCGGUAGUGGAAUCCUGCCUGUGAAUAGCUACUGCACUCCGUCUUGUGCAACAUAGUGAGAUCUC
This 278-nucleotide signal recognition particle RNA is filed under the name Microcebus murinus (gray mouse lemur). RNAcentral describes it as "Metazoan signal recognition particle RNA (ENSMICG00000028202.2)". The stretch from base 37 to 277 matches the Rfam family "Metazoan signal recognition particle RNA", at positions 52 to 291 of the family's 299-position model. Rfam says of the family: The signal recognition particle (SRP) is a universally conserved ribonucleoprotein. It is involved in the co-translational targeting of proteins to membranes. Lineage: Eukaryota; Metazoa; Chordata; Mammalia; Primates; Cheirogaleidae. The record is from RNAcentral.